CGCGGGGUGGAGCAGCUGGUAGCUCGUUGGGCUCAUAACCCAAAGGCCGGAGGUUCGAAUCCUCUCCCCGCUA
RNAcentral lists this transfer RNA (73 nucleotides) under bacterium. Its description in RNAcentral is "tRNA-Met". It matches the Rfam family "tRNA". Rfam says of the family: Transfer RNA (tRNA) molecules are approximately 80 nucleotides in length. Their secondary structure includes four short double-helical elements and three loops (D, anti-codon, and T loops). Further hydrogen bonds mediate the characteristic L-shaped molecular structure. tRNAs have two regions of fundamental functional importance: the anti-codon, which is responsible for specific mRNA codon recognition, and the 3' end, to which the tRNAs corresponding amino acid is attached (by aminoacyl-tRNA synthetases). tRNAs cope with the degeneracy of the genetic code in two manners: having more than one tRNA (with a specific anti-codon) for a particular amino acid; and 'wobble' base-pairing, i.e. permitting non-standard base-pairing at the 3rd anti-codon position. RNAcentral also lists the same sequence under 2 other names. The record is from RNAcentral.